CACAGUUUAUCAUUUCUGACUCCUAAUUAAUCAACAUUUCUUUCUCUGCCCUGGGAGCCUAGAAGAGUUGGAGUGUUCUUGUGAAUGCUAUAAUGCCGCUAGAUUAAACAGACUUUGACCCUCUCUAUGGAUUCGGGCUGCUCUCAGCAUUCAUCUGGGUAAACACUGAGAAUAGUUUUGAGAGAGGAGGCAUGGACUGUGGUGUCUGUCAUUGGCCUUUUGGUUGACAUCUCUGUUCUCAUUCUUUGAUGUGUGGUCUGCACUGGGCAAAGUCCCCUGUUUCCUCUGAAAAGAUUCAGACAAGAAUCUUUCUGAAAGAAAAUGACUAUGCAAAUACCAGGCAGUCUGCUCUCUCCUGAAUUUUGUAAGUUUACACAACGGAUUGAGUUUGGUGUAAAUGACAUCAAGCUUGAUAUGCGAUGCAUUUUAAAUACCUUGCCGGGAGAGAACACAUCACAAAUUCUGACAACCUUUCUUCAUCUCAGAGAGCAGGACUGCAGUGACUCAGGCAUAACUGCAUUUAAAAGUGAUAGCAUGAUUGGAUUACAAAUGAGCAUACAGCACCCUGAAAUGCCUCUCUGGACCAAUAUAAAUAAUAAUGGAUCUCAGACAUCAACGAAUAGCUCCUGCGGUUGUCAAGCCUUUCCAUCUCUAUCAGUGAAUCAACCUGGAACGUAACUUAAAUUUUUGGUUCGGAAAUGAGACAUCAUAGUAAAGAGUGAAGAGGAAGCUGGGAAAUUAGUUCACAAAAGGUGAGUUGGAAAAGAUAUACAAAAAAGAAGCAUUACUGUACAUACAAUUACUGUUUGUUUAUAGAAUAUUAUUGGGUCAAGACAUACUACCAACACACAAUUGUGGACCUAUGCAUUUAUAGACAGUAGUGCACACCAG
RNAcentral lists this long non-coding RNA (891 nucleotides) under Lepisosteus oculatus (spotted gar). RNAcentral's name for it is "lncRNA (ENSLOCG00000021176.1)". The record is from RNAcentral. Lineage: Eukaryota; Metazoa; Chordata; Actinopteri; Semionotiformes; Lepisosteidae.